Molecule: ribosomal RNA, 330 nt
Filed under: uncultured bacterium
Lineage: Bacteria
Description: bacterial SSU rRNA
Rfam family: Bacterial small subunit ribosomal RNA
Source: RNAcentral
CGCGUAGGUGGUAGUGCAAGUCUGGGGUGGAAUCCCAGGGCUUAACCCUGGAACUGCCUUGGAAACUGUAUUACUUGAGUCAGUGAGGGGAGGGUAGAAUUCCUGGUGUAGCGGUGAAAUGCGUAGAUAUCAGGAGGAAGGCCCGUGGCGAAGGCGGCCCUCUGGCGCUGAACUGACACUGAGGCGCGAAAGCGUGGGUAGCAAACAGGAUUAGAUACCCUGGUAGUCCACGCCCUAAACGGUGGGUACUAGGUGUGGGGCUCGUAAGGGUUCUGUGCCGAAGCGAAAGCAUUAAGUACCCCGCCUGGGGAGUACGGCCGCAAGGUUGAA